This 488-nucleotide unclassified non-coding RNA is filed under the name Hevea brasiliensis (rubber tree). The record is from RNAcentral. Lineage: Eukaryota; Viridiplantae; Streptophyta; Magnoliopsida; Malpighiales; Euphorbiaceae.
CCUCAUGCAGCUGCAUGCAAAAAAAUAAAAUCAGCUCGACCAUUAUGAGAUGAUAUGACAUUAAAUUGAAAUAAAUAAUUGUUUACUGAUUACUAUCACUUCAAAUUAUGUAAAACAUCAUCUUUAUGGAAGGUAGAUGUAGCAUAAUGCAACAGAUUCCUUGUUUUGUAUUUUGUUGCAGUGUACAAAGUAUACUAUAAGUAUUUUGAGAAUCCUUGUGUCACAUUCUUUGAGGUACUAUAAACAACAGCAUACAUGAAAAUAAAUUUUUUGAGCAUAGCCCCAUGUACUCUCAUCGGUGUGAACAUACCACAACCACAAAGAAAUUAUUCACCAAUAAAGAAAAUCAAAUUAAGUAAUCUCUAAUUCUCUACAGGUUUUAGUGCUUUACAUACCGAGGGAUCAAAUGGCUUUCCAACUGUUGCUACAGCAACCACCUGCAGGCUCCUCAUGAUCUCCACAAGCUGCUUGUAUAUACCUUGGUAACU